This 383-nucleotide ribosomal RNA is filed under the name uncultured bacterium. RNAcentral's name for it is "bacterial SSU rRNA". It matches the Rfam family "Bacterial small subunit ribosomal RNA", at positions 30 to 416 of the family's 1533-position model. The record is from RNAcentral.
AUUGAACGCUGGCGGCAUGCUUUACGCAUGCAAGUCGAACGGGCUUAGGGGCUUGCUCCUAAGUUAGUGGCGAACGGUGAGUAAUACAUCGGAACGUACCGUGUAGUGGGGGAUAACGUAGCGAAAGUUACGCUAAUACCGCAUACGAUCUACGGAUGAAAGUGGGGGACCUUCGGGCCUCACGCUAUACGAGCGGCCGAUGUCUGAUUAGCUAGUUGGUGAGGUAAAGGCUCACCAAGGCAACGAUCAGUAGCGGGUCUGAGAGGAUGAUCCGCCACACUGGGACUGAGACACGGCCCAGACUCCUACGGGAGGCAGCAGUGGGGAAUUUUGGACAAUGGGCGAAAGCCUGAUCCAGCCAUGCCGCGUGUCUGAAGAAGGCC